RNAcentral lists this ribosomal RNA (497 nucleotides) under uncultured bacterium. RNAcentral describes it as "partial 16S ribosomal RNA". It matches the Rfam family "Bacterial small subunit ribosomal RNA", at positions 28 to 507 of the family's 1533-position model. The record is from RNAcentral.
GAUGAACGCUGGCGGCGUGCCUAAUACAUGCAAGUCGAGCGAACGGACGAGAAGCUUGCUUCUCUGAUGUUAGCGGCGGACGGGUGAGUAACACGUGGAUAACCUACCUAUAAGACUGGGAUAACUUCGGGAAACCGGAGCUAAUACCGGAUAAUAUUUUGAACCGCAUGGUUCAAAAGUGAAAGACGGUCUUGCUGUCACUUAUAGAUGGAUCCGCGCUGCAUUAGCUAGUUGGUAAGGUAACGGCUUACCAAGGCAACGAUGCAUAGCCGACCUGAGAGGGUGAUCGGCCACACUGGAACUGAGACACGGUCCAGACUCCUACGGGAGGGAGCAGUAGGGAAUCUUCCGCAAUGGGCGAAGGCCUGACGGAGCAACGCCGCGUGAGUGAUGAAGGUCUUCGGAUCGUAAAACUCUGUUAUUAGGGAAGAACAUAUGUGUAAGUAACUGUGCACAUCUUGACGGUACCUAAUCAGAAAGCCACGGCUAACUACGUG